AAUUUGACCUCAAAUCAGGU
RNAcentral lists this ribosomal RNA (20 nucleotides) under Tricholoma myomyces. RNAcentral's name for it is "partial 28S ribosomal RNA". The record is from RNAcentral. Lineage: Eukaryota; Fungi; Basidiomycota; Agaricomycetes; Agaricales; Tricholomataceae.